This 1764-nucleotide ribosomal RNA is filed under the name Enterobacter roggenkampii. RNAcentral describes it as "partial 23S ribosomal RNA". It matches the Rfam family "Bacterial large subunit ribosomal RNA", at positions 419 to 2166 of the family's 2925-position model. Lineage: Bacteria; Pseudomonadati; Pseudomonadota; Gammaproteobacteria; Enterobacterales; Enterobacteriaceae. The record is from RNAcentral.
GGGACACGUGGUAUCCUGUCUGAAUAUGGGGGGACCAUCCUCCAAGGCUAAAUACUCCUGACUGACCGAUAGUGAACCAGUACCGUGAGGGAAAGGCGAAAAGAACCCCGGCGAGGGGAGUGAAAAAGAACCUGAAACCGUGUACGUACAAGCAGUGGGAGCACCUUCGUGGUGUGACUGCGUACCUUUUGUAUAAUGGGUCAGCGACUUAUAUUCUGUAGCAAGGUUAACCGUAUAGGGGAGCCGAAGGGAAACCGAGUCUUAACUGGGCGUUAAGUUGCAGGGUAUAGACCCGAAACCCGGUGAUCUAGCCAUGGGCAGGUUGAAGGUUGGGUAACACUAACUGGAGGACCGAACCGACUAAUGUUGAAAAAUUAGCGGAUGACUUGUGGCUGGGGGUGAAAGGCCAAUCAAACCGGGAGAUAGCUGGUUCUCCCCGAAAGCUAUUUAGGUAGCGCCUCGUGAACUCAUCUUCGGGGGUAGAGCACUGUUUCGGCUAGGGGGCCAUCCCGGCUUACCAACCCGAUGCAAACUACGAAUACCGAAGAAUGUUAUCACGGGAGACACACGGCGGGUGCUAACGUCCGUCGUGAAGAGGGAAACAACCCAGACCGCCAGCUAAGGUCCCAAAGUCAUGGUUAAGUGGGAAACGAUGUGGGAAGGCACAGACAGCCAGGAUGUUGGCUUAGAAGCAGCCAUCAUUUAAAGAAAGCGUAAUAGCUCACUGGUCGAGUCGGCCUGCGCGGAAGAUGUAACGGGGCUAAACCAUGCACCGAAGCUGCGGCAGCGACACUAUGUGUUGUUGGGUAGGGGAGCGUUCUGUAAGCCGUUGAAGGUGUGCUGUGAGGCAUGCUGGAGGUAUCAGAAGUGCGAAUGCUGACAUAAGUAACGAUAAAGCGGGUGAAAAGCCCGCUCGCCGGAAGACCAAGGGUUCCUGUCCAACGUUAAUCGGGGCAGGGUGAGUCGACCCCUAAGGCGAGGCCGAAAGGCGUAGUCGAUGGGAAACAGGUUAAUAUUCCUGUACUUGGUGUUACUGCGAAGGGGGGACGGAGAAGGCUAUGUUAGCCGGGCGACGGUUGUCCCGGUUUAAGCAUGUAGGCGGAACGAUUAGGUAAAUCCGGUCGUUUUUUAACGCUGAGGUGUGAUGACGAGGCACUACGGUGCUGAAGUAACAAAUGCCCUGCUUCCAGGAAAAGCCUCUAAGCAUCAGGUAACAUCAAAUCGUACCCCAAACCGACACAGGUGGUCAGGUAGAGAAUACCAAGGCGCUUGAGAGAACUCGGGUGAAGGAACUAGGCAAAAUGGUGCCGUAACUUCGGGAGAAGGCACGCUGAUAUGUAGGUGAAGCCCCUGCGGGUGGAGCUGAAAUCAGUCGAAGAUACCAGCUGGCUGCAACUGUUUAUUAAAAACACAGCACUGUGCAAACACGAAAGUGGACGUAUACGGUGUGACGCCUGCCCGGUGCCGGAAGGUUAAUUGAUGGGGUUAGCGGUAACGCGAAGCUCUUGAUCGAAGCCCCGGUAAACGGCGGCCGUAACUAUAACGGUCCUAAGGUAGCGAAAUUCCUUGUCGGGUAAGUUCCGACCUGCACGAAUGGCGUAAUGAUGGCCAGGCUGUCUCCACCCGAGACUCAGUGAAAUUGAACUCGCUGUGAAGAUGCAGUGUACCCGCGGCAAGACGGAAAGACCCCGUGAACCUUUACUAUAGCUUGACACUGAACACUGGUCCUUGAUGUGUAGGAUAGGUGGGAGGCUUUGAAGUGUG